RNAcentral lists this ribosomal RNA (364 nucleotides) under Lamproderma ovoideum. RNAcentral's name for it is "SSU rRNA". It matches the Rfam family "Eukaryotic small subunit ribosomal RNA", at positions 76 to 405 of the family's 1831-position model. Lineage: Eukaryota; Evosea; Eumycetozoa; Stemonitida; Stemonitidae. The record is from RNAcentral.
UCUCUCUGAAUCUGCGAACGGCUCCGCAAACCAGUUGUAAACUAGAGCAAGCUAGUCUGGCGGGCUUCGGCCUCCAGGCGAUAUGGAUAACCCUGGUAAUUCUGAGGCUAAUACAUGACCGCAAAACCGGGCAGCCCAGCAAUGGAUGCCCGGGGAUGUGCGAUAUGGCUUGACAAUAACCGGGAAAGGACGCACACUCAGACCGCGCUAAAAAGGAUCGGGACUCUCUUCGGAGAACCUGGCCCCAGCGGCUCUUGCUGUGUGCUUCUGACCUAUCAACUAGACGGCAGCGUAAUGGACAUGCUAUGGUGACAACGGGUACAGAGGAUUAGGGUUCGAUCCUGGAGAGUGGGCCUGAGAGAUU